AACGAACGCUGGCGGCAGGCCUAACACAUGCAAGUCGAGCGCCCCGCCAGGGGAGCGGCGGACGGGUGAGUAACGCGUGGGAACGUACCCUUUGCUACGUAAUAGCCUCGGGAAACUGGGAGUAUUACCGUAUGUGUCCUUCGGGAGAAAGAUUUAUCGGCAAGGGAUCGGCCCGCGUUGGAUUAGGUCGUUGGUGGGGUAAUGGCCUACCAAGCCGACGAUCUAUAGCUGGUUUGAGAGGAUGAUCAGCCACACUGGGACUGAGACACGGCCCAGACUCCUACGGGAGGCAGCAGUGGGGAAUCUUAGACAAUGGGCGCAAGCCUGAUCGAGCCAUGCCGCGUGAGCGAUGAAGGCCUUAGGGUUGUAAAGCUCUUUCAGGGGGGAAGAUAAUGACUGUACCCACAGAAGAAGCCCCGGCUAACUCCGUG
RNAcentral lists this ribosomal RNA (431 nucleotides) under uncultured bacterium. RNAcentral describes it as "partial 16S ribosomal RNA". It matches the Rfam family "Bacterial small subunit ribosomal RNA", at positions 29 to 507 of the family's 1533-position model. The record is from RNAcentral.